This 459-nucleotide ribosomal RNA is filed under the name uncultured bacterium. RNAcentral describes it as "partial 16S ribosomal RNA". It matches the Rfam family "Bacterial small subunit ribosomal RNA", at positions 338 to 795 of the family's 1533-position model. The record is from RNAcentral.
CCUACGGGAGGCAGCAGUGAGGAAUAUUGGUCAAUGGGCGAGAGCCUGAACCAGCCAAGUCGCGUGAGGGAGUACUGCCCUAUGGGUUGUACACCUCUUUUGUCGGGGAGCAAAAGCCGGACGUGUCCGGCUGAGAGAGUACCUGAAGAAGAAGCCCCGGCUAACUACGUGACAGCAGCCGCGGUAAUAAGGAGGGGGCAAGCGUUAUCCGGAUUUACUGGGGGUAAAGGGGGAGCAGAAGGCGAUGCAAGCCAGGAGUGAAAGCCCGGGGCCCAACCCCGGGACUGCUCUUGAAACUGGGUGGCUGGAGUGCAGGAGGGGCAGGCGGAAUUCCGGGUGUAGCGGUGAAAUGCGUAGAUAUCAGGAGGAACACCGGUGGCGAAGGCGGCCUGCUGGACUGCAACUGACGUUGAGGCCCGAAAGCGUGGGGAGCAAACAGGAUUAGAUACCCUGGUAGUC